This 253-nucleotide ribosomal RNA is filed under the name uncultured bacterium. RNAcentral's name for it is "partial 16S ribosomal RNA". It matches the Rfam family "Bacterial small subunit ribosomal RNA", at positions 524 to 776 of the family's 1533-position model. The record is from RNAcentral.
UACGAAGGGGGCUAGCGUUGUUCGGAAUCACUGGGCGUAAAGGGUGCGUAGGCGGCGCGGAAAGUCAGGGGUGAAAUCCCGGAGCUCAACUCCGGAACUGCCUUUGAUACUCCCGCGCUUGAGAACUGGAGGGGACAUCGGAAUUCACGGUGGAGCAGUGAAAUGCGUGGAUAUCGUGAGGAACACUAGUGGCGAAGGCGGAUGUCUGGACAGUAUCUGACGCUGAGGCACGAAGGCCAGGGGAGCGAACGGG